RNAcentral lists this transfer RNA (70 nucleotides) under Thelephora ganbajun. RNAcentral's name for it is "tRNA-Met". Lineage: Eukaryota; Fungi; Basidiomycota; Agaricomycetes; Thelephorales; Thelephoraceae. The record is from RNAcentral.
AGUUCGGUUGCGUAGUUGGUUAUCGCAUCUAACAUACAGAAGGUCCCUGGUUUGAGCCCGGGCCGAAUCA